This 497-nucleotide ribosomal RNA is filed under the name uncultured bacterium. RNAcentral's name for it is "partial 16S ribosomal RNA". It matches the Rfam family "Bacterial small subunit ribosomal RNA", at positions 28 to 507 of the family's 1533-position model. The record is from RNAcentral.
GAUGAACGCUGGCGGCGUGCCUAAUACAUGCAAGUCGAGCGAACAGACGAGGCGCUUGCUCCUUUGACGUUAGCGGCGGACGGGUGAGUAACACGUAGGUAACCUACCUAUAAGACUGGGAUAACUUCGGGAAACCGGAGCUAAUACCGGAUAAUAUUUCGAACCGCAUGGUUCGAUAGUGAAAGAUGGCUUUGCUAUCACUUAUAGAUGGACCUGCGCCGUAUUAGCUAGUUGGUAAGGUAACGGCUUACCAAGGCAACGAUACGUAGCCGACCUGAGAGGGGGAUAGGCCACACUGGAACUGAGACACGGUCCAGACUCCUAUGGGAGGCAGCAGUAGGGAAUCUUCCGCAAUGGGCGAAAGCCUGACGGAGCAACGCCGCGUGAGUGAUGAAGGUCUUCGGAUCGUAAAACUCUGUUAUUAGGGAAGAACAAACGUGUAAGUAACUGUGCACGUCUUGACGGUACCUAAUCAGAAAGCCACGGCUAACUACGUG